Molecule: ribosomal RNA, 1400 nt
Filed under: Georgenia sp. JL700
Lineage: Bacteria; Bacillati; Actinomycetota; Actinomycetes; Allobogoriellales; Allobogoriellaceae
Description: bacterial SSU rRNA
Rfam family: Bacterial small subunit ribosomal RNA
Source: RNAcentral
ACACAUGCAAGUCGAACGAUGAAGCCCAGCUUGCUGGGUGGAUUAGUGGCGAACGGGUGAGUAACACGUGAGUAACCUGCCCCUGACUUCGGGAUAACCACGAGAAAUCGUGGCUAAUACCGGAUAUGACACGUGCCCGCAUGGGUGUGUGUGGAAAGAUUUAUCGGUUGGGGAUGGGCUCGCGGCCUAUCAGCUUGUUGGUGGGGUGAUGGCCUACCAAGGCGACGACGGGUAGCCGGCCUGAGAGGGUGACCGGCCACACUGGGACUGAGACACGGCCCAGACUCCUACGGGAGGCAGCAGUGGGGAAUAUUGCACAAUGGGCGCAAGCCUGAUGCAGCGACGCCGCGUGAGGGAUGACGGCCUUCGGGUUGUAAACCUCUUUCAGUAGGGAAGAAGCCUUCGGGUGACGGUACCUGCAGAAGAAGCGCCGGCUAACUACGUGCCAGCAGCCGCGGUAAUACGUAGGGCGCAAGCGUUGUCCGGAAUUAUUGGGCGUAAAGAGCUCGUAGGCGGUUUGUCGCGUCUGCUGUGAAAACGCAAGGCUUAACCUUGCGCCUGCAGUGGGUACGGGCAGACUAGAGUGCGGUAGGGGAGACUGGAAUUCCUGGUGUAGCGGUGGAAUGCGCAGAUAUCAGGAGGAACACCGAUGGCGAAGGCAGGUCUCUGGGCCGUUACUGACGCUGAGGAGCGAAAGCAUGGGGAGCGAACAGGAUUAGAUACCCUGGUAGUCCAUGCCGUAAACGUUGGGCACUAGGUGUGGGAUCCAUUCCACGGGUUCCGUGCCGCAGCUAACGCAUUAAGUGCCCCGCCUGGGGAGUACGGCCGCAAGGCUAAAACUCAAAGGAAUUGACGGGGGCCCGCACAAGCGGCGGAGCAUGCGGAUUAAUUCGAUGCAACGCGAAGAACCUUACCAAGGCUUGACAUACACCGGAAAAGUGCAGAGAUGUGCUCCCCGUAAGGUCGGUGUACAGGUGGUGCAUGGUUGUCGUCAGCUCGUGUCGUGAGAUGUUGGGUUAAGUCCCGCAACGAGCGCAACCCUUGUCCUGUGUUGCCAGCGGGUUAUGCCGGGGACUCAUGGGAGACUGCCGGGGUCAACUCGGAGGAAGGUGGGGAUGACGUCAAAUCAUCAUGCCCCUUAUGUCUUGGGCUUCACGCAUGCUACAAUGGCCGGUACAAAGGGCUGCGAUACCGCGAGGUGGAGCGAAUCCCAAAAAGCCGGUCUCAGUUCGGAUUGGGGUCUGCAACUCGACCCCAUGAAGUCGGAGUCGCUAGUAAUCGCAGAUCAGCAACGCUGCGGUGAAUACGUUCUCGGGCCUUGUACACACCGCCCGUCACGUCAUGAAAGUCGGUAACACCCGAAGCCGGUGGCCCAACCCCUUGUGGGAGGGAGCUGUCGU